Non-coding RNA from Equus caballus (horse), 1666 nucleotides. Lineage: Eukaryota; Metazoa; Chordata; Mammalia; Perissodactyla; Equidae. The record is from RefSeq and is a predicted model, not a curated record.
AUCUAGACCCUGAAGUGAAAAAUAGUCUAAAUUUCGAUAGCUUAAGCUUGAGGGGCAGAAUAAUUUAAACCAGGUGUUCGCAAACUUGAGCGUGCAACAGAGUCACCUAGGGCCUUGUUAAAACACAAGUGACUGGGCCCAACCCCGGAGUUUCAGGUCUGGGGGCCUGUCGGAGAAUCUGCCUCUCUAACAAGUUCGCAGGUGGUGAUGAUGUUGCUGGUCCGAGGACCACACUGAGAGCCGCUGCUGUGGGCUUGUUAAAAGGCAGAUUCACUGGCCCACUCCCAGGAUUACUGAGGGUGGGCCCAUGAAUCUAAACCCAAUAGGUGAUUCUGAUACAGGUGCUCUGAGGAGCUGGAUAUGCAUCUUGGAGGCAGGACGUCACCUUGUUUUCAAGGGCCAAGACCUCAGGACCAUAAUUGGCUCACCUAUGUGUGUAGGGGGAGAAGGCUGCUGGCAGCCUUCAUUAAUUCUCUGGAACGUAGUGUAUUUUGAGUCUAAGGUGCUGCCAGCCAGGCAGAUGCAGCUCCAGGUAUCCGGCUGGAAUCUACUAGAACAGGAAGGGCCUGGCUGUCCAGGGAAGCUGCAUCUCAAGUUUCUGGGCAUGGCCUCUAAUGGAAGAAAGUGUGAUAAACCCUCAGGUUCUCUAAAGCAGUGGUUUGCAUACCGUGGGCCCUGGACCAACAGGAUCAGCAUGACCUGGGAACUUGUAGACAUGCAGAUUCUCAGGCCCUUCCCCAAAUCUACUGAAUCUGAAACUCUGGGGGUGGGGCCCAGCCAUAUGCCCUGCAAGUGAUUCUGAUGCACAGUCAAGUGUGGGAAACACUGCUCUAAAGAAUGACUAGUACACUCGCAGGUCUUAGAGUCAAUGAUAUUAGUGGUUGGGUGCUUAUUUCAACUGAGGAAAAGCAUCCUACCGGACAUUUACAGCAUAAAUAGAAGUUCAUUUAACUUAGUGAUAAACUAAGCACUAUAACAUUUUGAGCCAGAUAAAUCUUUCCUGUGGGGGCUACCCUAUGCAUUGUGGAUGGUUAGCAGCAUCCCUAGGCAUUGUGGGAUGGUUAGCAGCAUCCCUAGCCUCUACCCACGAGAUGCCAGUGGUGACAAUGAAAAAUGUCUCCAGAGGUUGCCAAAUGUCCCUGGGGGUAGGAGUGGGAAACAACCUCAGCUGAGAACCACUGAAUUAAGACAAAAACAUAUAGUAGAUUAAUUUAUUUAGCAAAUCUUCCUCAUGCUAGAUUUUCAGAAACAACAAAAACAACAGAGGAUUCCAGCUCAAAGAACCUUACAGUUUUAGGCAAACACAAAUAUAUUGCAAUGUCAUAAGUGUUGUUAAAAAAUAUUGAAUGAAAUUCUAUGGAGGUAACUAACUUUUCCUAGGGUAGCUGAUGAAGAUUUCUCACAAGAGCUGACAUUGGACUCUCCAAAAAAAGAAGAAAAGGAAGGAUAUUUGUUGCAUGUGCAAAGUCUAAAGAGCUCAGAGAAGUUGCCAGGUAGAGGAGACUCACCUGUUAAGCGUGGGCCCAGGCAGGCUCACAGACAAUUAACUAGCAAGAAUGUCAACAGUUAACAUUUCUUUCAUGUUUUAAAUCUACCUGGCACGUAGCUGGGAGAGGAUGAGACUCACCCCACGGUAGUGAUUCAUUGAUUGAUAUUUCCUGUGUAC